Molecule: non-coding RNA, 1737 nt
Organism: Amborella trichopoda
Lineage: Eukaryota; Viridiplantae; Streptophyta; Magnoliopsida; Amborellales; Amborellaceae
Source: RefSeq, a predicted model, not a curated record
CUCUACGUAUAUGGGUAGUUAUAUCUUUCUCCACGUAGAUAAAUACAUGGAUAGUGGUGUAUGGGCAGUUUGUUAAAGAUGAUGAACAAAGUGGAUUUAAUAGGUAGUUAUCUAGGCAAUGGGUAGUUAUUUAGGUAGUGGGCAGUUGUGUUGUAUUCGCCUAUAUAUUUGGGCUCCUUGAAUUGAAAUGUUUUUGUGGUUGUGUGUGGAAAAAUGUAGUGUAUGUAGAAAAAUAUAGUGUGUGUGGAAAAAUAUAGUGUGUACGUAUGGAAAAAGUUGAGUAAACUUCAAUUUUGUGUUUAUCACUCCAAGAAAGAAAGUGUUUGUGUUUAUAUCAUAGCCUCAUACAUAAAAUUUCAACAGACCUUCACAAAGAAGAUCAGUUGAUUGAGAGGAUGCUGGAUGACUCCCUUAAGUUGCUAGAUGUGUGCAGCACAGUAAGAGACACUGUGCUGGAUGACAGAGCAACAACAAUGUGUACUGUCUGCUCUUCGUAGCGGAGACUAUAAUGGGUUAGAGGGCCAAGUUCAAGCCUACUUUUCGGCCCAAAGGAAGAUGAUCAAGGAGCUAGCAAAAUGUCUGAGAGCUUUGAAAGGAAUUAGCAGAUCGUUUCAUUUUGAAGGACAUGAAGCUGCGCCUGCCAAUGAGGUUGUGAAGGCAUUGAAACAAGUUGGAUCUCUCACCAGGACGCAAGUAUUAACUACCAUUCCUUUGGUCUCCUGCCCACAAACAACUCUCUUUGGUUAUAUGAGGCAAAGUCACAAGCUAAGUCUCCAAGCCCCAAAGGUUGGAACUGAAGUCUGAACCUUAAGAGUUGUGCAAUAGAUGCCCCGAUGCCAUACCAUGUUUGUUCCAAUAGCUUGCCCAUUGGCUCUCACCCGGUCUUGUGCCAAUUGAAUGAGAAGUUACACCGGAUUAGUGGCUCUGUUCAACAAAAGGUGGAGUGCCUCGCCGAUUCUCUUGUAGAAUUGUAUGACAACUUCAAUUGUCUUCUUCAAUUGCCACACACCCUUGAUGUCCUCCGUUCGGAAGAUAAAUCAGUCAAUGAGAUGCUUGAGGACUCUCUUAAAUUGGCAGAUGUUUGCAGCGCAAUGAGAGAUGUCAUAUCCCGUUUGAGACAGCAACAUUGAAUUGUUCUAUCUUCUCUGUGUAGGAGAGACUGCGCACGGUUGGAAGGCGAAGUUGGAGCUUACAUCUCAGUCCGAAGGAAGAUGAACAAGGAGUUGGAAAAAUGUCUAAGCACCUUGAGAAGAACUCGAAGAUCGAUCUCUUCUCGGCUCCCACAAAAUCGUUCCCUACAAAAUGAGGAUGUGGUGGUUGCCUUGAGCCAAGUGGAAUCUGCCUCUCUCUUUGUGUGUGAAUCUCAGCUUCUGAAAUUCAAAAUGCCAAAGAAAAGCCAAUCGAUCAUAUCCACCAUCUUCAGACACAAGACCCCGCAGCAAAAUGAGGGAACCAGUGAUUGGGAAUGUGCAAAUGCUUCCGUGUGUUCCAUCUAUAGAAACUCCGGCAAAGUUGAUGAGAAGUGUGCCAAGGAUGCCCAAAGAAAAUUGGCCUCAUUGGACGAAUUCAUGAGGAACAUUGAUGAUCGGUUGGGUGGCAUCAGCAAUCGCAUGAUUAGAAGCCGUGUUUCCCUUCUUAACAUCAUCACAAACUAAUUGUUCCAAACAAAUUAACCCCAAUUCUUGGCUCUUGGGCAUCCGCAUUUUACGCUACUUGUAAUAUAUAUAUAUUUUUGUC